This 441-nucleotide ribosomal RNA is filed under the name uncultured bacterium. Its description in RNAcentral is "bacterial SSU rRNA". It matches the Rfam family "Bacterial small subunit ribosomal RNA", at positions 29 to 506 of the family's 1533-position model. The record is from RNAcentral.
ACGAACGCUGGCGGCAUGCCUAACACAUGCAAGUCGAAUGGUUAAGUGGGCUUGCUCACAAGACCAUGGCAGACGGGUGCGCAACAUAUAGGAACAUACCCUUCGGUGGGGAAUAACGCCGGGAAACUGGUGCUAAUACCGCAUACGUCCUAACGGAGAAAGAUUUAUCGCCGAAGGAGUGGCCUAUAUCAGAUUAGAUAGUUGGUGGGGUAAAGGCCCACCAAGUCUGUGAUCUGUAGCUGAUCUGAGAGGAUGAUCAGCCACACUGGGACUGAGACACGGCCCAGACUCCUACGGGAGGCAGCAGUGGGGAAUAUUGGACAAUGGGGGAAACCCUGAUCCAGCAAUGCCGCGUGUAUGAUGAAGGUCUUCGGAUUGUAAAGUACUUUUAUAGGUGAAGAUGAUGACGGUAACCUAUGAAUAAGCUCCGGCUAACUUCGU